CAGCCGCCACGGUAAUGCGUAGGGUGCGAGCGUUAAUCGGAUUUACUGGGCGUAAAGCGUGCGCAGGCGGCCCGUUAAGGCAGGUGUGAAAUCCCUGGGCUCAACCUAGGAAUUGCGCUUGUGACUGGCGGGCUCGAGUACGGUAGAGGGGGGUGGAAUUCCUGGUGUAGCAGUGAAAUGCGUAGAGAUCAGGAGGAACACCGAUGGCGAAGGCAGCCCCCUGGGCCUGUACUGACGCUCAUGCACGAAAGCGUGGGGAGCAAACAGGAUUAGAUACCCCAGUAGUCCCUGUCUCUUAUAC
Molecule: ribosomal RNA, 301 nt
Filed under: uncultured bacterium
Lineage: Bacteria
Description: partial 16S ribosomal RNA
Rfam family: Bacterial small subunit ribosomal RNA
Source: RNAcentral